Canis lupus familiaris (dog) is the source of this 3502-nucleotide long non-coding RNA. RefSeq lists it as uncharacterized. The transcript is spliced from 4 exons. NCBI's taxonomy places the organism in Eukaryota, Metazoa, Chordata, Mammalia, Carnivora, Canidae. The record is from RefSeq and is a predicted model, not a curated record.
UCAGGCAGGAUCAGAUUCCCCAUUGGACCCCUGGGCCUCUCACCCAGGACCCCAAGUGCAUAUCUUUGAAGGCUUUGUCUUCAGCGCUGACUCCUUGAUCGAGGACCCAUUGGUGAGUCCAACUCCUCAGCCAACACUCCUGACAACACUCUGCUGAAGCAUGGGCAUGUUCCGCAGCCCAGGCAUGGAGUGAUCACCGAGUUACUUCUGGGCAACAGCAGGCAAACAGUCAGGAGAGAUUCUGGAAAAGCCCUGAUGAACCCAUGCUCUUUGGGAACAGAGGCCAAGGCCAACCCCGAGUCCAGGAGCGCCAAGAGGACCCAUGUAGCAACUGGCAAGGACAGCAGCCCAACACCAAGGUCUCUUCUAGGGUGUACCCUGAGGGGGGACCUGGUGGCCACACAGGGGGCUCUGCAGAGUUCCAGUGCCACACAAUCACAGGAGGCUGAUUUGAAGGGGGAAUUACAGGGGCGAGGCAGCGUGAAAGGUGCAUGAGGAAGUCAAAGUAAAUCAUCCAGUUGACACAAACCUCCACUCGGCACAGUCCUGUGGGGACUCCAGCUGAAAGAGCAAUUGCAUGAGACUCCUCAACACAUGGCUCACAAUGCUGCCCACGUCACUGACAUCCAACCAACCUGCAGGAUACGGAGAGCAAAGAAGCAUAUUUUUAUAGGCCAAGCCUGAAAGUGUUUACAUCACUUUUGCCCACAUUCUAACAGCCAGAACUCGUCACAUGGCCCAAAUUGGAUGCAAAUGUUCCUGAGCAAUGUUACCCUGGCUGAGCAUCCACUUCCCAGCAACACAGAAGGGAGCAGAGUUCUUUGGUGGACAACCAACCCUCUGCCACACAUCUCGAUGACACUAUAGAUGCUCUCCAUCACCAGACCUAUGGGAUAGUGCCAUGGAGGUCAGAUUGAGCCCAGUCUCACCAGAUCCAGGCUUUGCUGUCUUUGUCUGCAUUAUAUUUAGUUUGCAGCAGUGCUAUGGAGCUGGGAUAUGGUCCCUCCCAUGAUGACAUGGCACAAAUGAAGGAGGUUGUGUGCUGGCCCAGCUUGCAUCCUAGCACAAUGGUGUUUCAUGUUUCCAGUGUUCUUUCCUCUGGGUUCUCCCAUAUGUGCGAGGACUUUAUGAAAGAGGGGAGUGUUCCUUCUGUCCUCAUUGACAGACGGACACGUUGGCAUGGUUGGUGCCUACAGGCCAACUUUGGGAAGCCAGCACCAGGCAUCAAGAUUUGCUACGGGGCUAGGCUCUGGCCAGGAUCUCACUUAGUAAUAAAUACUAGCCGCUUUUGUUCUUCUGUGAGCAGCUACUAAUGAUAUAAUGCCCAGGGCAAACAGGCCUGUGCAAAAACCUGUUCAUUUGCAUAAGAAAUUGGCCCGCUCUGUGGGCCCAACACCCUCCUAUGUAGAUCUAGAUUAUUUUUAAGUAAUGGCAAUGUAAACCACCAUUUAUUAUUAUCCCAUUAUACUAGGCACUGUACGAAGUACAGUGCAGCCUUUUAUCUAUACUAGUAACUGUUCUGUAAAGUGACGUUAUUGGUUUUGUUUUAAAAUGAGAUACCUCAGCAAGCUUAAGUAGGUUGUUCAAAGUAAAUGAUGAGUGGCUGAGCUGAAAUUCAAGUCUAGAACUUCAGAACUCUAAAAUGCAGUCUCCUUCCGCCACGCUAUACGAUGAGUACCAGCAGCUCCCCGCUCUCACACCAUGAGGUACUUAUCGCCCUCUUCCAAGAGCAAUGCUUAGCACACACAAGGCAAACACCAAUCCGUUCAUCCUUCCUGGGCAAGACUCACCCACAGAAGGCCUCUCAGACUGCUCGGGGCCAGCCUGGGGCCUUCACCUAUAGAGUAACCCCCGCAUACAGGAAGUUUGAUGACAAUGGAUUCAUUGCAAAGUGAGUGUUCAUUGUACAAAACUGUACAACAAUAGCAUAUGAUCUGCGGCCACACCCACUCCUUUUCAACCACACAAAGGGUGAGCCACAGAGACACAGCAGCUGCUUUGGAUCAUUGUGUGAUUCUCAAUGUCAUCAUUACAAGACCCACUUCUCCUCAUCUGCUUCUUCACCAUUAACAGGUGUCCCUCCUCUGUCUCUAGAGAUGUUACAAAAGCAGCACUGAUUCAAAGAGCGACCAAGUGGUCACCCAGACAGCCUUUUUGCCAAGCCAUGGAAUACUUUAAAAGAUAGUUACUGAAGCCAAGAAUCCAUAUCACUUAGCACCUUCUCUGAUGGAACACUUUGUGUGUUUCUUUGGAGACUUUAAGCAAAGGCAGAGCAUUUUGGUGUUGGGGAUCACAAGAAAGAAAAGAACUCUGCACACUCCCUUCGCGCCAUAAUUAAAAUAAUGACUUCAUUUAUUGGAGUACUUAAGAUUGCCAGGCACUGUGCUGAAUGAUUUACACACAUUGUCCUAUUCAAUCUUCACAAUGAUCCCACAAAGACUGUAAUAUUAUUAUUUCCAUCUUACAGAAGAAAAAAACCCCAGUCAGAUUAAGUAAGUUCAUCACAAAGGACAGCAGUGAACUCCAGCCCAGGUCUAUCUGACUGUCCCUUUCCUUGAACCAGCCUGCCUGGAGGUCCCAGAGCUGUCUGUGAAGAAUACCUGCCAGAAGGAAAUCCUGGCGUGGAGUGGAAAGACUUUCCAGUGCUGUGUGGCAGUGCUUUUGUUGUGCAAUUACAAGAAAGGGAACACAGUGUUCUGAAAUUGCACAAGGAAUGUAAACAAGACAAAUGGAAUCUCAGAACUGGUGCUAAUCCCCUGCUGGAAGUUGUUUCCAGAAAAAAGUCUUUUGUGUAGCAUUUGACUAGAUGGAUUGGCCCCCAAAAUGCUGGGGGAAAAAGUGCUGAGAGCAAUGGCUGAGUUUUGCAAAGGUGUAGGCACUUAAGGAGUUUUAUUUCUUCCUAAGUAAAUGUUUUCCUUGCUUAUACCAGACCUCAAAUGUAUGCUGAACUAUUUAAGAAUUCCAAGGAAGACUAGAAUUAGCCUUUAUGAGGAAAAUCCCAAAGCCAGCAUUUGUUGAUGAAAGUAACUUCAAAAUGUGUGAUGGAAUGAUCUUGGCACUUCAUAGUGAACCCCAAUACUACCCCACUUAAGAUUGGUAAUGGCUUAUGGGGACAGCCCUGGGAUAGUUAUGUGAAGGACCCCUUCCACGCAUCCCUUCAUAUACAAUAAAUAAAUAGAUCAAGGUCAUGAACUCCCAAGAAUUGCUUCAUUGCUUCAAAUGAAAACUCUUACAUGUAAAAGUACAUACAUGUUUUUAUUUGUAGCUGAAGCUUUAGGAACUAAUAGUACAAAUGAGUUCAUAAGAUGUAACCACUUAUUGAGCAUUUACGAUUUGUCAGGUCCUACACAUAGUAUCUUAUUUAAUGUUUAAUGUUGACAAUACCCUGUGAGUUUGUGGACAAAAUAAUUCUCAUGUCCAUGCUACAGACAAGGAAACUAAAAUCUGGAGAAGUUAAAUGAUUUUCCCAACAUCAAAUGACAAAAAUAAAACAAUAACAAGU